CGGAGUGGCGGACGGGUGAGGAAUACAUCGGAAUCUACUCUGUCGUGGGGGGAUAACGUAGGGAAACUUACGCUAAUACCGCAUACGACCUACGGGUGAAGCAGGGGAUCUUCGGACCUUGCGCGAUUGAAUGAGCCGAUGUCGGAUUAGCUAGUUGGCGGGGUAAAGGCCCACCAAGGCGACGAUCCGUAGCUGGUCUGAGAGGAUGAUCAGCCACACUGGAACUGAGACACGGUCCAGACUCCUACGGGAGGCAGCAGUA
This 262-nucleotide ribosomal RNA is filed under the name uncultured Stenotrophomonas sp. RNAcentral describes it as "partial 16S ribosomal RNA". It matches the Rfam family "Bacterial small subunit ribosomal RNA", at positions 91 to 355 of the family's 1533-position model. Lineage: Bacteria; Pseudomonadati; Pseudomonadota; Gammaproteobacteria; Lysobacterales; Lysobacteraceae. The record is from RNAcentral.